Molecule: ribosomal RNA, 404 nt
Filed under: uncultured bacterium
Lineage: Bacteria
Description: partial 16S ribosomal RNA
Rfam family: Bacterial small subunit ribosomal RNA
Source: RNAcentral
GAUGAACGCUGACAGAAUGCUUAACACAUGCAAGUCAACUGUGGCGGACGGGUGAGUAACGCGUAAAGAACUUGCCUCACAGAUAGGGACAACAUUUGGAAACGAAUGCUAAUACCUGAUACUGUGAGAGAGCUUUGCGUCCCAUUAGCUAGUUGGAGAGGUAACGGCUCACCAAGGCGAUGAUGGGUAGCCGGCCUGAGAGGGUGAUCGGCCACAAGGGGACUGAGGCACGGCCCUUACUCCUUCGGGAGGCAGGAGUGGUGAAUAUUGGCCAAUGGACCAAAGUCUGAUCCAGGAAUUCUGGGUGCACGAUGAAGUUGUCGGAAUGUAAAGUGCUUGCAGUUGGGAAGCGGUACCAACAGAAGAAGUGACGGCUAAAUACGUGCCAGCAGCCGCGGUAAUUC